This 465-nucleotide ribosomal RNA is filed under the name uncultured bacterium. Its description in RNAcentral is "partial 16S ribosomal RNA". It matches the Rfam family "Bacterial small subunit ribosomal RNA", at positions 28 to 507 of the family's 1533-position model. The record is from RNAcentral.
GACGAACGCUGGCGGCGUGCUUAACACAUGCAAGUCGAACAGAAAGGCCCCUUUGGGGGUACUCGAGUGGCGAACGGGUGAGUAACACGUGAGUAACCUGCCCUUGACUUCGGGAUAACUUCAGGAAACUGGGGCUAAUACCGGAUAGGAAUCCUUGCUGCAUGGUGGGGGUUGGAAAGCUUCGGCGGUUUUGGAUGGACUCGCGGCUUAUCAGCUUGUUGGUGGGGUAGUGGCUUACCAAGGCUUUGACGGGUAGCCGGCCUGAGAGGGCGACCGGCCACAUUGGAACUGAGAUACGGCCCAGACUCCUACGGGAGGCAGCAGUGGGGAAUAUUGCACAAUGGGCGGAAGCCUGAUGCAGCAACGCCGCGUGCGGGAUGACGGCCUUCGGGUUGUAAACCGCUUUCAGCAGGGGCGAAGCUUGUGGUGACGGUACCUGCAGAAGAAGCACCGGCUAACUACGUG